UAGGGAAUAUUGGACAAUGGGGGCAACCCUGAUCCAGCCAUGCCGCGUGAGUGAAGAAGGCCCUCGGGUUGUAAAGCUCUUUUGUCCGGAAAGAAAAGCUUCGGGUUAAUACCCCGGGGUUCUGACGGUACCGGAAGAAUAAGCACCGGCUAACUUCGUGCCAGCAGCCGCGGUAAUACGAAGGGUGCAAGCGUUACUCGGAAUUACUGGGCGUAAAGCGUGCGUAGGUGGUUGUUUAAGUCUGAUGUGAAAGCCCUGGGCUCAACCUGGGAAUGGCAUUGGAAACUGGGCAGCCAGAGUGCGGUAGAGGGUAGUGGAAUUCCCGGUGUAGCAGUGAAAUGCGUAGAGAGCGGGAGGAACAUCUGUGGCGAAGGCGACUGCCUGGACCAGCACUGACACUGAGGCACGAAAGCGUGGGGAGCAAACA
RNAcentral lists this ribosomal RNA (427 nucleotides) under uncultured bacterium. Its description in RNAcentral is "bacterial SSU rRNA". It matches the Rfam family "Bacterial small subunit ribosomal RNA", at positions 355 to 774 of the family's 1533-position model. The record is from RNAcentral.